UGAACUUGAGGACCAUAUAUAUACAAAUGCUAUUCUUUAUGAAGUUGAUUUAAAAGGCAUAGUAUUCCAUUUUGUUAAGGAUAAGCAAGAAAUCAUAACAUUGAUCAUAAAAUAAAGUCGGUAUACUAUAAGGUGGACCAUUGUCUACCAAUUACAGGUUUCCACAAUAAGAAAGUAUAUUCCCUUCCAUUCUCUAUGGAAUUUAAUGUAAAUCUAGCUAAAUGAUGAGCAAAAAUAUUAACAAGGUGCUUAACAAUGUGCUAAAUGCUAAUCAGCAAUCACCAAAUCAAAAUAGGAAAAGUCAUUGGAUUUUGCCUUCAUUUCUCUAACGAUGCUGAGAGUCUCAUUCAAAGAUAACAUGUUUGAAUCCAAUUUCAAAGGAAACAUGGAAAGGUAAUCUCAAACUCAUGGCUUCUGCAACAUCAGAAUCAGAUCAGGAAGAGCCUAAAAACUCCAGAUAGUAGCAUCCAUUACCAAGUCAUUUUCAUCACGAACAACAAUUCCAAUACCCCAUUUAUUGUUAGAGCUUUGCUAUAUAAAGCGACAAAAAUCAUCUCGAGGACAUUGCGAAUAGUAAAUAAACCAAUGAAAAUCAAGGGUGAGCGGAAUUCAUGGGAAGUUGGUUGACAAAAUGGUAUAUUCAAUAAAUGCUGCCUUUGAUGGAAAACAAGUCAUGAAAAUAUCGUGGAAUUCAGACCAAGAGUUUAGGAGUAACCUGUUUUUUAUUGCAGAAUGUUAGCGGUGGUUAGAAUUCUUCGAAACCCCUCUAUUUAUUUGUUGGAUUUAAAAAACAGUCAGACUAUUCAGGGAUUGGUUAAAUGGUACCCAUUUAAGUGAGGAAUUCGUGGAGUUUUAUCCCAUCUAGUUGUUGAAUUGCACCAGAUUCAAACAUGGGCUAAGGAGCUAUAUGGUUGUAGGGUCGUCAAUCCUAGAGUGGUUCCAUACGUAUUCUUAGCUUUUAGUGUGGGAUCUUACUCUCUCAGAGGUAAUUGAAGUAUAAACUUAAAUUAGAGUUCCUAAAUGUAUCAUAAGGGUUACUUCAUCUAUCUAUCAUAGAAUUACAUCAACAUAUCAUCUCUUCUUGGUAGUUCUACAUAUGGGCCGUUCACAAAAUAGUUCUAGAUUAUGUCACAAAAUAGUUGAGCUCAACUGUUAGUUACCAAAUCUCCUUUAAGAAUAAGUUUCAUAUGAGAAGCUAACUAUUGUAAGCUUUUCUUCACAAGACCUUGAUAUCGAAUACAAGCCUUAAAAUCAAAAUUUGAGCUAAAGAACAAAAGUGGCAAACAAUCAAAAUUAUGUCAUGUUGUAUUUCUUUCUCUUUGUAAUUAAGACUAUUCUCUCGUAACAACCCCCAAAUUUCUUAAGUGAGUCUCUAACUUUUGAGGGUUUCAAUGAGCAUUAAAAUCUACCCAAAAAAUGGGUAAUAGAAUGUGUCUAAAUAUUAUAUAUAAAUCAAUUAAAAUUAGGUCAAUCUUCAAAUAUAUGGUUAAUAUUCAUUGAGACCUAGAUUAGUUUUUGAACAUCCGUAAAUGCAUAACAAAACAUUAAGAAUAUAUUAUAAAUCGAAUAAAACUAAGCAUUGCAAUUGAAUUGAAAGGAAAAAAAUCAACAUCUUACAUGGUUUAAGUAGUUACAGAGAUGGUUUAUCUACAUGAUGUAACCUAGAAAAUUAGCUACUCAAGUUAUCUACACAUAAACAAAUGAAUAUGUAAAAGAAUACAUGAACUAUGAUCAUCGUAUGCUGAUUCCCUGUCUCUGUGAUGAUUAUGAUUGCUAGUAAUAUUUCUAAUCACGAUUUUGCUUGUUUCUAAUCAUCAUAGCGAUUCUUUCUAAUGAGUCAGGGCAUACCUAUAUAUAGGGAAGCGUUUCCAGUAUUCCUGAAAAGUUUGUGCCGAACACACAUAGUUUGUGCCCAUCACACAUGAGGUAGUAGUUUUGCCUUUGAACUUCCUUCUUGGUUGUGCGACAUGCAACUCAUAGCAUGCUUUGCGCAUGAGGCGGCAGCUUUUUCAUUUCUCCUCAUCAAAAACAUUUGUGGUGACUACACCCCAAGAAAUCACUUGAUAAUCUUUUGAAAAGCCUGGCACAACCACACCGCUGUCUAGUUUGGGUGAUUUGACAUAGUUUAUGGCCUUUUGUUCAUAUAUUAUCUUCCAUGCCGAUUCAUCAAUUUAUUUACAAAAUCUCAACUAAAACUAAUGAAAACUUUCUAGAAUGAAUCUAAAUUGACUCCUAAACAAUGCAAAAAUACUAUAUGAAUUACUUUCAUCAAAGCUCCAAGAACCCUUCAACAAGGAAAUUUACCACCAGCAAAAUUAGCAUGGCAGAUGCUUAACACUUCAGGCCACAUCAUUGGCUGAUAUGAUUAGUUUUUUUUCUUCUAUAAACCAGUUUGUACAUUGUAAUUAGACACAUUCAAUCAAUCAAACAAAUAUUUUGCAUUUUAUCUCUUUUAUCAGUCAGUCUUCCUAUAUUUUUUAGUGUAGCUCAAAAAACCUAAAAAUAACCUUACGGAACACUCCUAGAGAAGUUAGGAAACCUACAACGGAGUGAUAGAAUUUCUCCCUCAACGUCAAUCACUUGAAGAAAAGGGAAUAUACAAUUGAAUAAAGGAUACAUUAUUUAUGAAAGUAGUGAAAAUCAUACUAACAUUACAACACUAACCACAUUUGAUUAGUUUAUAUUAUGCAUUGGAGAUAGGGAAAUGAUAAUCUGCAUUCCAAGGACUAGAGAUCACUAAAAUAUUACACUAAACCUCAGAAUGCAGGUUAUCUAAUCCUUACCCAAUAUUUAUUCUAACUCCAUCAUAUGAGGACAUAUAGAAAAUAGAAGCCAUCAAUUUGAUUUCAUUAUUCUGCAUUGGUGAUAGGAAAAGAUAAUCCGCACUCCGAGGCUUAGAAACGAUUACGCAAUUUAUUUAUUUUUUGGAAAUUACGCAAAUAUUGUCUUAAACCUCAGGAUGCAGAUUAUCCCAUCCUCACCCAAUAUAUUCUCACUGAAGAAGUCCGUAUUUCACACUGGUAUUUAGAAAAAGGUAAUCUCUAUCCCAUCCUCACCCGAUUCUCAACCAAUCAACACCUACUCCAAUUACAAGUAUAGUACUAAGAAAAUGAGAGUGGAAGAAAUUGCAUAAGCAAAUAAUCCAAGGGAAAAGAAUGCUU
Molecule: long non-coding RNA, 3161 nt
Filed under: Medicago truncatula (barrel medic)
Lineage: Eukaryota; Viridiplantae; Streptophyta; Magnoliopsida; Fabales; Fabaceae
Description: long non-coding RNA (MTRU_LNC005197)
Source: RNAcentral